Molecule: long non-coding RNA, 1148 nt
Organism: Cryptomeria japonica (Japanese cedar)
Lineage: Eukaryota; Viridiplantae; Streptophyta; Pinopsida; Cupressales; Cupressaceae
Exons: 3
Source: RefSeq, a predicted model, not a curated record
UUCAAAUACCAGUAUUCUGCUUGCUGCCAUGUGUUCUCCAUUUCUUAAUUUCUAUCAUCUAGAAAACAAGUCUCAUUCUUUUGAUUCUGUGAACUUGCAGACGCCUCAUUAUGUAUGCUCUAACUAUGACACCCACUUUUCUUCAUCAAUCCUGGAACCAUUACCACCAUUAUCUUAACCUAAUAAAGAUAGUGGAGUGACCUUUCUUGUUGUACUCCUUUUAGCAUGCGCGUUAAUCUCACAGUGAACCCAAAAGUCCUUAUAUAUUUAUACAUGAUUUUCAUACAACAAUAGUGAGUUUUUAUCUUCAACCAUUGUACCCACUUUGAUGAAUUUCUUCAAAAGAUGGUGCUUCUUGUUUUCUCCGAUAUGUCCUGCAAAGGUGUGCAGGUUAUCAAGGAGCAACCACAACAAAGUCUCAAAAGAAGAACCUUGAAGACCUCCAAGAAAGAUAUGAGUUGGUUUUGGGAGAAAACAAGGCUUUUGAAUAAAAGUUUGGGAAUUGAGAGAAUAUUGAAGCAAUUUGAGAAGAACCUAUUUGAGUUCUUUGUUGGAAUCCUCCAGCAGUUGCAAUUAAAGCUGAUAGAGGAGGAUGAACUUAUAUCAAAGCUCCAAAAAGAAAGUUGGCUCUACCAUGAAGAGUGGACCAGUGGACCAGUCUCUACUCAAGAAGAAGAAUCUAUUAGAAUGGAAUGUAUGAGCAUCCAUGAAAGAGUGGCCGUAGUUGUUUGUUGUGUUUUUAUAUGUGUCAGAUUCAAUUCAGAACAUAAAACAUGUCACCUUAUUCAUUAUUUGAUGGAUACUCUUUUCUGCUUCUGCAUUCUCAUUCAAAAGCAAUGGCAAUAGAAUCUAUAUUGAGCAACUUAAAACAUAUACACACCUUGUACCUUUGCAGCCAUAUCUUCACAUCAGGUGCACCCUCGUGACUCCCUCCGUAAUAUGCAACUAAUAGAUGGUUGGGCUCAAUCUGUAGAAAUAGUCCAGAAUAUCUGUAGUCAGAAAUGGGAAAAAUACUAGCUAUUGUAAUGUUUGUAGCCCUCAAAUUUGUUGUGGAUACCAGAUUCUUUGUAGACAGAUUAAUGGCAAAUCGUAGUCAGAAGCAAUAGUAGAGGCUUAUGGAAUAAAUGACAUGAAUAGAUUUUAAAAUG